CCUACGGGUGGCAGCAGUGGGGGAUAUUGCACAAUGGGGGAAACCCUGAUGCAGCGACGCCGCGUGUGUGAAGACGGUCCUCUGGAUUGUAAACCACUGUCCCCAGGGACGACGAUGACGGUACCUGGGGAGGCAGCUCCGGCUAACUAGGUGCCCGCAGCCGCGGUAAUACGUAGGGAGCACGAGUUGUCCGGAAUUACUGGGUGUAAAGGUAGCGUAGGCGGGAUGGCAAGUUGGGUGUUAAAUCUACCGGCUCAACUGGUAGUCGCACUCAAAACUGCUAUUCUUGAGUGAAGUAGAGGCAGGCGGAAUUCCUAGUGUAGCGGUGAAAUGCGUAGAUAUUAGGAGGAACACCAGUGGCGAAGGCGGCCUGCUGGGCUUUUACUGACGCUGAGGCUCGAAAGUGUGGGGAGCAAACAGGAUUAGAUACCCGUGUAGUC
RNAcentral lists this ribosomal RNA (440 nucleotides) under uncultured bacterium. Its description in RNAcentral is "partial 16S ribosomal RNA". It matches the Rfam family "Bacterial small subunit ribosomal RNA", at positions 338 to 795 of the family's 1533-position model. The record is from RNAcentral.